ACUAUACUGAACAUAUGCUUUUAGUUUUGUGUACAUUAUCCAACUUGCUUCCUUACAGGGAGAACAAAGCACCUUAAUAUUGUCCUGAAAUCACCCCAGGUGGGAAAGUCAGCCACAGCUUCUGCAAAGGAAUCGUGGAACACUAUCAGAUGUGCAAGUAAGGGCUAGCACAUACGUAACCAGAUUUAGAUAUUACUCUUACAUAGACAUUUAUUGCAGUGAGGAAUAUAUAUUUGGAGGCGUCUGUUUCCACAAUGCUAUAUAUUUUUGAAAAGUGCUACUGUCACAAUAACUCAUGCACUAUUAUUCUACUGUGUCUUUAUAAUGCUGGAAGAAGAGGGGCCAGGAUUGUGCUAGUCAUCACGCCCCUUGCAACCCGUCUUGCUCCUGCAGUCCUCUGCCUUUCUUUUGGCAUGUGCACUUCUUGUUCCUGCCAUAUGAGUCUGUUAGAAUACGAACAUAAAUUAUUUUGAGCAGAUGUGAACUAAUGUUACCCUACUUGAAGAAAAGAAAGGAAAAACCUGCCGGACAACUCUGUUGUCACCUAAAAGAAAAGCACUGAUGAGCUCCAAAUAGAUGGAAAGUCGAUUCCUACAGUUGCCCUGUUUUGCCACGCGGUGGCGCUGAUGCACCAGGAAGACACCACGGCUCUGGAGCGAGCAGCUGCUCUGCUGGCUUGGAUCUGUCCCAGAAACGUCUGAGGGAGGUGGUGACCCUGAGAAGGGAAAUGGACAAGAUGAUGAGCCAGAGAAAAUGGAUGAAAGCCUUUGAACCCCUCAGAAGACCUCAGCUCAAAGGUUACUACGUCACCGAAUCUCUCCCUGACCACCACGCUGUGAAGUAGCCUGGGAAGAAAGGCCAUCUCAGCUCUUCCAGCUGUCCUACCUGAAGCCUGAACAUGUGAGUGAAACCACUGUGGACUCCCAGCUUUUGCUGAGCCCUCAGGUUUCUGCAGCUGUAGGAGUGAAUUCACGUGAGGCGAGUGGCAGAGCUACCCGAUCGACCUUCACAAUUGUGCUAAAUAAUAAAUAAGUAAACGAUGACUGUUUUUAAUCA
This is a long non-coding RNA of Homo sapiens (human), 1056 nucleotides long. RefSeq lists it as uncharacterized. The record is from RefSeq and is a predicted model, not a curated record. The transcript has 2 exons. Lineage: Eukaryota; Metazoa; Chordata; Mammalia; Primates; Hominidae.